GAUGAACGCUGGCGGCGUGCCUAAUACAUGCAAGUCGAGCGAACAGACGCGGAGCUUGCUCCUCUGACGUUUGCGGCGGACGGGUGAGUAACACGUGGAUCCCCUACCUAUCAGUCUGGGAUAACUUCGGGAAACCGGAGCUUAUGGCGGAUAAUCUAUUGAACCGCAUGGUUCAAUAGUGAAAGACGGCUUUGCUGUCACUUAUAGAUGGAUCCGCGCCGCAUUAGCUAGUUGGUAAGGUAACGGCUUACCAAGGCAACGAUGCGUAGCCGACCGGAGAGGGUGAUCGGCCACACUGGAGCUGAGACGCGGUCCAGACUCCUACGGGAGGCAGCAGAAGGGAAUCUUCCGCAGUGGGCGAGAGCCUGACGGAGCAACGCGGCGUGAGUGAUGAAGGUCUUCGGAGCGUAAAACUCUGUUAUUAGGGAAGAACAAAUGUGUAAGUAACUAUGCACGUCUUGACGGUACCUAAUCAGAAAGCCACGGCUAACUACGUG
RNAcentral lists this ribosomal RNA (497 nucleotides) under uncultured bacterium. RNAcentral's name for it is "partial 16S ribosomal RNA". It matches the Rfam family "Bacterial small subunit ribosomal RNA", at positions 28 to 507 of the family's 1533-position model. The record is from RNAcentral.